RNAcentral lists this ribosomal RNA (501 nucleotides) under uncultured Bacteroidales bacterium. RNAcentral describes it as "bacterial SSU rRNA". It matches the Rfam family "Bacterial small subunit ribosomal RNA", at positions 103 to 601 of the family's 1533-position model. The record is from RNAcentral. Lineage: Bacteria; Pseudomonadati; Bacteroidota; Bacteroidia; Bacteroidales.
CGGGUGAGUAACGCGUAUCCAACCUUCCGUACACUCAGGGAUAGCCUUUCGAAAGAAAGAUUAAUACCUGAUGGUAUCUUAAGCACACAUGUAAUUAAGAUUAAAGAUUCAUCGGUGUACGAUGGGGAUGCGUUCCAUUAGGUAGUAGGCGGGGUAACGGCCCACCUAGCCGACGAUGGAUAGGGGUUCUGAGAGGAAGGUCCCCCACAUUGGAACUGAGACACGGUCCAAACUCCUACGGGAGGCAGCAAUGAGGAAUAUUGGUCAAUGGACGAGAGUCUGAACCAGCCAAGUAGCGUGAAGGAUGAAGGUCCUACGGAUUGUAAACUUCUUUUAUAAGGGAAUAAACCCUCCCACGUGUGGGAGCUUGUAUGUACCUUAUGAAUAAGCAUCGGCUUAACUCCGUGCCAGCAGCCGCGGUAAUACGGAGGAUGCGAGCGUUAUCCGGAUUUAUUGGGUUUAAAGGGAGCGCAGACGGGUCGUUAAGUUAGCUGUGAAAGU